Molecule: ribosomal RNA, 822 nt
Filed under: uncultured bacterium
Lineage: Bacteria
Description: bacterial SSU rRNA
Rfam family: Bacterial small subunit ribosomal RNA
Source: RNAcentral
GUGCUUAACACAUGCAAGUCGAACGAUGAAGCCUAGCUUGCUAGGUGGAUUAGUGGCGCACGGGUGAGUAAUAUAUAGAUAACGUGCCUCUUAGUCUGGGAUAGCCAUUGGAAACGAUGAUUAAUACUAGAUACUCCUUCUCUAUCAAAUUAGAGUCGGGAAAGUUUUUCGCUAAGAGAUCGGUCUAUAUCCCAUCAGCUAGUUGGUAGUGUAAGAGACUACCAAGGCAAUGACGGGUAGCGGGUUUGAGAGGAUGAUCCGCCACACUGGUACUGAGACACGGACCAGACUCCUACGGGAGGCAGCAGUGAGGAAUAUUGCACAAUGGAGGAAACUCUGAUGCAGCAACGCCGCGUGGAGGAUGACGCAUUUCGGUGUGUAAACUCCUUUUAUAUGUCAAGAAAAUGACGGUAGCAUAUGAAUAAGCACCGGCUAACUCCGUGCCAGCAGCCGCGGUAAUACGGAGGGUGCAAGCGUUAUUCGGAAUCACUGGGCGUAAAGGACGCGUAGGCGGGAUGCCAAGUCUGAUGUGAAAUCCUAUGGCUUAACCAUAGAACUGCAUUGGAAACUGGUAACCUAGAGUAUGGGAGGGGGAGAUGGAAUUAGUGGUGUAGGGGUAAAAUCCGUAGAUAUCACUAGGAAUACCGAAAGCGAAGGCGAUCUCCUGGAACAAUACUGACGCUAAGGCGUGAAAGCGUGGGGAGCAAACGGGAUUAGAUACCCCGGUAGUCCACGCCCUAAACGAUGUUCACUAGUCGUCGGGAUGCUAGUCAUCUCGGUGAUGCACUUAACAGAUUAAGUGAACCGCCUGGGGAGUACGGU